GAUGAACGCUAGCGGGAGGCCUAACACAUGCAAGCCGAGCGGUAGAGUUUCUUCGGAAACUUGAGAGCGGCGCACGGGUGCGUAACACGUGUGCAACCUACCUUUAUCUGGGGGAUAGCCUUUCGAAAGGAAGAUUAAUACCCCAUAAUAUAAUGAUUGGCAUCAAUUAUUAUUGAAAACUCCGGUGGAUAGAGAUGGGCACGCGCAAGAUUAGAUAGUUGGUGAGGUAACGGCUCACCAAGUCAAUGAUCUUUAGGGGUCCUGAGAGGGAGAUCCCCCACACUGGUACUGAGACACGGACCAGACUCCUACGGGAGGCAGCAGUGAGGAAUAUUGGACAAUGGGUGAGAGCCUGAUCCAGCCAUCCCGCGUGAAGGAUGACGGUCCUAUGGAUUGUAAACUUCUUUUGUACAGGGAUAAACCUACCCUCGGGAGGGUAGCUGAAGGUACUGUACGAAUAAGCACCGGCUAACUCCGUG
Molecule: ribosomal RNA, 479 nt
Filed under: uncultured bacterium
Lineage: Bacteria
Description: partial 16S ribosomal RNA
Rfam family: Bacterial small subunit ribosomal RNA
Source: RNAcentral